UGAGUAACCUGCCCUUGACUCUGGGAUAAGCCUGGGAAACCGGGUCUAAUACCGGAUAUGACUGCCGGCCGCAUGGCCUGGUGGUGGAAAGCUUUAUUGCGGUUUUGGAUGGACUCGCGGCCUAUCAGCUUGUUGGCGGGGUAAUGGCCCACCAAGGCGACGACGGGUAGCUGGCCUGAGAGGGUGACCGGCCACACGUGGGACUGAGACACGGCCCAGACCUCCGUACGGGAG
Molecule: ribosomal RNA, 234 nt
Filed under: uncultured bacterium
Lineage: Bacteria
Description: partial 16S ribosomal RNA
Rfam family: Bacterial small subunit ribosomal RNA
Source: RNAcentral